UUAAAUUGAAGAGUUUGAUCAUGGCUCAGAUUGAACGCUGGCGGCAGGCCUAACACAUGCAAGUCGAACGGUAACAGGAAGCAGCUUGCUGCUUUGCUGACGAGUGGCGGACGGGUGAGUAAUGUCUGGGAAACUGCCUGAUGGAGGGGGAUAACUACUGGAAACGGUAGCUAAUACCGCAUAACGUCGCAAGACCAAAGAGGGGGACCUUCGGGCCUCUUGCCAUCGGAUGUGCCCAGAUGGGAUUAGCUAGUAGGUGGGGUAACGGCUCACCUAGGCGACGAUCCCUAGCUGGUCUGAGAGGAUGACCAGCCACACUGGAACUGAGACACGGUCCAGACUCCUACGGGAGGCAGCAGUGGGGAAUAUUGCACAAUGGGCGCAAGCCU
RNAcentral lists this ribosomal RNA (389 nucleotides) under Escherichia coli. Its description in RNAcentral is "bacterial SSU rRNA". It matches the Rfam family "Bacterial small subunit ribosomal RNA", at positions 1 to 384 of the family's 1533-position model. Lineage: Bacteria; Pseudomonadati; Pseudomonadota; Gammaproteobacteria; Enterobacterales; Enterobacteriaceae. The record is from RNAcentral.